GUCGAAAUCAGACUCUAAUCCACAAAACCGAGUCUCGAUGACGACUCCAAGACUCUUUGGCAGAUUGAAGAGUGGAAUUUGAUAGAAGAUUGAAUAAGGUUUCUAUAGACAUUGAAUUUGGGUGAUUUGGAGUUGUAAUGACUUUGUAAGAGCUUUGCAAAGUCAAGGUUUGUUUCGGAUGACUUGGAUUUUAUGAAAUAAAAUAGGGUUUAUAUUUUGGAUGAUUUCGAGAGUUCUAUAGCAGAUCUAUGGAUGAAAUAUUGUGGGUUUAUGGUUAUAGUUGUGUUUAAUAUGUGUUGUAAAUUUGAACUCGAUCUAAUAGUUGAAUUAAAGGUUAUUGAGGUUUAAGUAGAUCAAGGUCUCAAAAAGUAGAAUUUUACAUCUAGUGAGGGUUUUUUAGAAUUUCUUGCAAUCUAAUGCUUGGAUUGGAGUGAAACUUAUGUGAGCGGAUAUAAGACUUGCUUUU
Molecule: long non-coding RNA, 466 nt
Filed under: Physcomitrium patens
Lineage: Eukaryota; Viridiplantae; Streptophyta; Bryopsida; Funariales; Funariaceae
Description: long non-coding RNA (PPAT_LNC000889)
Source: RNAcentral